Long non-coding RNA from Teleopsis dalmanni, 734 nucleotides. RefSeq lists it as uncharacterized. Lineage: Eukaryota; Metazoa; Arthropoda; Insecta; Diptera; Diopsidae. The record is from RefSeq and is a predicted model, not a curated record. The transcript is spliced from 4 exons.
UAACUUAAAGUUUUUUCUUAAAGAAAAAAUUUUUCGUAAAAUGACUGAAAACAGAUUCACCAAUUUUUUGAGAUUUUUCCAAAAAAGCAAUCCAAAAUUAAGUCCGUUGCAAAUUAUUAAAUGUGGAGGGGAGAUUUGGGUUCAUUUAAACGAGAGUGAGAAGGAAGAGUUCUCUCCACAUAGGCCUCGUGUUAUAGACAGCGUAGACUUAUUAGACGUAUUUCUUCCCGUAGAGAAGCUAAAACUGACAAAACAAGGAAGAAAACGUAAACCAGCAAAAAGGAAGGGAGCGGUUAACAAACGUCGCGCUAAGAAAAAGAAAGCAGGCCGUCGUGGAGGACAACUCAAGAAAAGGAAAAACAAGCGUGCAAAGAAAGGUGGCAAGAACCAUGGAAAAAAGAAGGGGAAAAAACAUUGAAUUGUUUUCCACACUUAUGGUGUUACGAGGACGGUAUCCAUCUUAUCGACAACUUAAAGUCGUAAAUAAAUUUUUUCAUCUUAUAUCAAAAAAUACUUGUUGGAUUAUUAGUGUACACAAUAAUGUAUACGGACGGAAAUAAUCUACCAUAUAACUGCACCAAAACUCAAAUUUUUCAGAAAUCAACAAAAAUGAAAUCAUGAAAUUUCUGAAGAUGCCAUGAAGCCUGCCACUCCACCUUUAAUUAUUAUUCUGGACAUAUACACCUUUUAGAACUUUGGUUAACAGUUGAAAUAAAUAUAUUUAGUUAGUACUG